This is a long non-coding RNA of Propithecus coquereli (Coquerel's sifaka), 282 nucleotides long. RefSeq lists it as uncharacterized. The transcript is spliced from 3 exons. The record is from RefSeq and is a predicted model, not a curated record. NCBI's taxonomy places the organism in Eukaryota, Metazoa, Chordata, Mammalia, Primates, Indriidae.
UGAAAUCAAAAGUGAAAAGUCCCAGACUUUCAGAGAACGCCCUGCAGGCAGGGGAGCAGGACGCAGGAUGAAGAUUCCCAAGAUUCCCAUGGCUGCCGGACAUGCAAUGGUGGUUGGUGGAGUCGCAGCUUGCGCUGUGCUGCUCCUGGCCUAUAUCGCCAUUAAACACUGGAAAUCAGCGUCCCCCAAACGAGAGGACAUUGAGUACCACAGGAGAGACGAGUGGACGUCAAUGAGCGGGCAAGAGCUAGUUCGUUUGCGCAGCGUUCCAAUGAGGUCUUA